CGGUAAUUCCAGCUCCAAUAGCGUAUAUUAAAGUUGUUGCGGUAAAAAAGCUCGUAGUUGGAUUUCUGUUGAAAACGACCGGUCCACUCAUUGAGUGUGUAUCUGGCGCGAUUUCGGCAUCCUCUCAGAAGACAGUUCUGCGCUUCGUUGCGUGGGCUGGAUUUUGGGACUUUUACUUUGAGGAAAUUAGAGUGUUCACGGCAGGCUAUCGCCAGAAUACAUUAGCAUGGAAUAAUAAUAUAGGAUCUUGGUUCUAUUUUGUUGGUUUCUAGAAUUGGGAUAAUGAUUAAUAGGGACAAUUGGGGGCAUUCGUACUGACGCGUUAGAGGUCAAAUUCUUGGAUCGCGUCAUGACGAACUACUGCGAAAGCAUUUGCCAAGGAUGUUUUCAUUGAUCAAGAACGAAAGUAAGGGGAUCGAAGACGAUCAGAUACCGUCGUAGUCCUUACCAUAAACUAUGCCAACUAGGGAUGAGAUCUCGUUCAUCUAAAGACUGAUUUCGCACCUUAUGAGAUAUCAAAGUUUUUCGGUUCCGGGGGGAGUAUGGUCGCAAGGCUGAAACUUAAAGGAAUUGACGGAAGGGCACCACCAGGAGUGGAGCCUGCGGCUUAAUUUGAUUCAACACGGGGAAACUCACCAGGUCCAGACAUAAUAAGGAUUGACAGAUUGAUAGCUCUUUCUUGAUUUUAUGGGUGGUGGUGCAUGGCCGUUCUUAGUUCGUGGAGUGAUUUGUCAGGUUAAUUCCGUUAACGAACGAGACCUUAACCUGCUAAAUAGAAGCGCGUUUCUCCGGAAAUGCGUCAUUCUUCUUAGAGGGACUCUAGUUGCGUUUAGCCUAGGGAAGUUUGAGGCUAAAACAGGUCUGUGAUGCCCUUAGAUGUUCUGGGCUGCACGCGCGCUACACUGAUGCGUUCAACGAGUGUACAACCUUGCCCUAGAGGGUUGGGUAACCUUUUGAACACGCAUCGUGAUGGGGAUUGACCAUUGUAAUUAUUGGUCAUCAACGAGGAAUUCCUAGUAAUGAUGGUUCAUCAGACCGUCGUGAUUACGUCCCUGCUCCUUGUACACACCGCCCC
RNAcentral lists this ribosomal RNA (1075 nucleotides) under uncultured dinoflagellate. RNAcentral's name for it is "bacterial SSU rRNA". It matches the Rfam family "Eukaryotic small subunit ribosomal RNA", at positions 577 to 1675 of the family's 1831-position model. Lineage: Eukaryota; Dinophyceae. The record is from RNAcentral.